RNAcentral lists this long non-coding RNA (460 nucleotides) under Rattus norvegicus (Norway rat). RNAcentral describes it as "long non-coding RNA NONRATT007596". Lineage: Eukaryota; Metazoa; Chordata; Mammalia; Rodentia; Muridae. The record is from RNAcentral.
CCACUGAGGAAACUGCUCUCAGCUGGCAAGCAUGGUGGACGGUCCUCAUCUGCACACACCCCAAAGAAGUUUCCGAGGAAUGGAUCCUUGAUUUUAGACUGUGAGAUCUUUUCCUCCAGGACUCUCCAGAGGCGGGUCCCUGGCCAAUGAACACCCACUAGUCCGGAAGGCAGGAGCUCACGGUGCAGACCCACCCACCGAAGCCAUUGGUGGAUGGGAAAAAAAGAAAAUGGCGUCUCCAUGUCUCAGCUCAGCAAACUCUUUGCAUCCAUUCCUCCACUUCAGGGAUGAACUCCAGAAACCUCGCUGCUUUUCACUGGGAGGUCUGGAUUUGGGGACAGCGAGGGGAGCAGGUGGUUUUUAGGGAGAGCUGUGAAUGCUGGUGUUUACAAAAUUGAGUACAAAUGCUGUAGCAUGCUUAAAGUUCUCUAGUACAUUUGAAGUCAUAGGUUUAUUCUUU